UGGGGAAUUUUGCACAAUGGGGGAAACCCUGAUGCAGCGACGCCGCGUGAUUUAGAAGGCCUUCGGGUUGUAAAAAUCUUUUCUAUGGGAAGAAAAUGACAGUACCAUAGGAAUAAGGACCGGCUAAUUACGUGCCAGCAGCCGCGGUAAUACGUAAGGUCCGAGCGUUGUCCGGAAUCAUUGGGCGUAAAGGGUACGUAGGCGGGUAAGCAAGUUAGAAGUGAAAUCCUAUACCUCAACUAUAGUAAGCUUUUUAAACUGCUCAUCUUGAGGUAUGGAAGGGAAAGUGGAGUUCCUAGUGUAGCGGUGAAAUGCGCAGAUAUUAGGAGGAAUACCGGUGGCGAAGGCGACUUUCUGGCCAUAACCUGACGCUGAGGUACGAAAGCGUGGGUAGCAAACAGG
RNAcentral lists this ribosomal RNA (402 nucleotides) under bacterium. RNAcentral describes it as "partial 16S ribosomal RNA". It matches the Rfam family "Bacterial small subunit ribosomal RNA", at positions 355 to 776 of the family's 1533-position model. The record is from RNAcentral.